UCGUAGGUGAGCCUGCGGAGGGAUCAUUA
This 29-nucleotide ribosomal RNA is filed under the name uncultured Helotiales. RNAcentral's name for it is "partial 18S ribosomal RNA". Lineage: Eukaryota; Fungi; Ascomycota; Leotiomycetes; Helotiales. The record is from RNAcentral.